GGAUAUAUGGACCGUGGUAUAAGU
This 24-nucleotide small nuclear RNA is filed under the name Arabidopsis thaliana (thale cress). Its description in RNAcentral is "snRNA_09068". The record is from RNAcentral. Lineage: Eukaryota; Viridiplantae; Streptophyta; Magnoliopsida; Brassicales; Brassicaceae.